Molecule: long non-coding RNA, 4577 nt
Organism: Rattus norvegicus (Norway rat)
Lineage: Eukaryota; Metazoa; Chordata; Mammalia; Rodentia; Muridae
Source: RefSeq, a predicted model, not a curated record
AACAAGAGUAUUAUACCAUGUAUGUGUGCACAUAAACAUACAAUACACAAUUAAAACAUAAAUAGUUAAGAUAUGUAUUAUGAUUUCUUAUCCUUUUAUGCAUGUCAAUGAUUUGUUUUGAUACUUCUUGGGAAAAACACAGGUUUACUAAGCAAUUCCAUGGCAUCAAACUCAUGGGAAGUAAAUACAGUGAGGAAUCAGAAUGCACAGAGUAUAAAUAGGAUUCUUUGUGUGAUAAACCAAGCUACAAAUGUCAUCCAAAAAGUACAAAUAUGUGCUUUGAACACAGUAUGAGCAGGACAUGACUUAACUCAUUAUAUAGCAUGAUACUCUGGGUUUAUAUCAAAAGCAGUCUAAUACAAAUAUUACUUACAUUUUAUAUGACUCAUGCUCUGUUGUGAUAACCACCACAGCAAUCAAAAGCAGCUGGAGAGAGGAAUAGCUUUAUUUGGCACAGAGGCUGCAGCCCAUCAUCUAGGGAAGCCAAGUCAAAAGUUUAAGACAGGACCUUGGAGACAGGAAUGGAAAGCAGAAAUCACCAAGGAACAUCACCUAACUUCCCCAUACAACUCAGGAACACACUGGGUUAGGAGAGGCUUUAUACUGGGCAUAUCCCUCUUCUAUCAAUUAACCUUUAAGAAAAUGCCCUAUAGAGAUGCCCACAGGCUGAUCUUCUAGAGGCAACUCCUCACCAGAGGGUCUUCAAAGGUACAUAAGGUUGACAACCAAGAGUAGCAAUCACAACUCAUAAAUACACUGACAUACAUAAAGGAUAUCAAGAGAGACAUAGUAUUAAAGGCAACUGUGAAUCCCUUUCCAGUCUGUGACGUGAAUAUUGGGAUUGGCAGGCCAUUUACUUUAAAAUAGGCAAAAAAGAAAUAUUAGGUUCAAAGAUGAGCACUUAGAAUGAAGGGGAAGAAACCAUGUGUAUAGUACAGGGUGUGUUUCAGGAGAAACAUGUUAGAGUAAAAGCAUCAGUAAGGCCAAGAUAUUAAAUAAUCUUCUCAGAUAGAAAUGGAAUGAAAUUUGUUUGGAAUGACUUCAGAAGACAGAAUUAAAACCUGAAUAGAAAUUCUAAGUCAAAUUCAUUAUAUGUAAAAAAAAAAAAAAGUUCUUGACAGCAGAACUAUUCACAAUUGGAAUGGGCUGUUUUAUAAGGAAGCAGGCUCUCCAAGCUACUGGCAUUCAAAUGAGAAGGACUAGCAUAGGAUUCAUAAAUAUUCUCAUCUAAAUAGUCUGCAAUAGGGGUACUGAAAGGAGGAUGUUCUCUGGAGAAGGAGAAAUAUAUAAAAAUGAUGGUGGGAUCAGUCACUGAAAUAGGAUUGAAUUUAGGAGGAGAUGUUCCACAUUUCACUUUGCUGACCUUAAGUGCGUGAACGAUAGUCUAAUAGAAGAGGCAAGGUAGGAAUCUGUUAUAUUAUCUAAUGCCAGAAGAAAGGUCUGAACUGGAGGUGAGUUUGAGCACAUCCAUCCCACAAGGUCAGUACAGUCCAAUCUGAACCCAAUACAUUAUUUUUAAUUAUCGAUUUUAUUUACCUCCAAUGUAGUCAAAAUAUUAUCAUUUAACAUGUGGCCAAUAUAAAAAUAUUUAAAUAAUUUCUUUUUUCUUGUUAUUGUUUAUAUAUGUGUUUCAAAUAUGCUAUACAUAGAUUACUUAGAGCAUAUCUCAAUUCAGGUACCUGCCUUCUAAUUCCAAGAACCUAGGAGAUACAUCUGGGCAAAUAGGUACAAUGACGGACAACAUAGACAUGGAAUAUCAUCAAAUUCUCUAAAAUAUUAAACUAAGAUUAGCCAAGGGAAACUUUUAAAACCAUAUAAAUGGAAGAUCAAAGAUAAUAGAGUAAAAAUAUAUGUGGUCAAUUAUGCUAUACUCUAAUGAAGGUUGGGGACUUUAAAAUACACAACUAGAGCUAAAGAAAUGGCUUAUUGGAUUUGAGCACUUGUCACUUUUGCAGAGCCCAGAAUUCAAUUCUCAGCAUCCACAUAGUGGCUCAAAAUCAUGCAUAAUUUCAGUUCCAAGGGAUCCAAUUCCCUUUUCUGGCCUUUGUGGUUAGUGUGUAUCCAUGUAGAGGACAUGCAUGCGUGCAAGCAAAACACUCAUAUAUACAAAAUAAAAUUCUAAAUGCAUUGGACCCAAAGUUAUAGAAACCCUGGGAGCAGUUUGACAGAUAAGUAAAUGCUCUAAUCAUUCUUAGUCUGAGGAGUAAUACGUUUAGGUCCUAUAGUUCUUUGUCUGUGGCCUGCCAUAGACUUUGGAUUACAUUUGGACUAAUAGAAAAGGGGACAAUAGACAAGUUAAGUGGUGGCAUCUUCCAGGGGGACUUCUAUGCAAGGCAUAGAAAGAAAGCAUGUACCCUGCUUCCUUUUGGUGCAUUCAUGUACAGUGUCUUUUUUUUCUUUUCUUUUAUUGGAUAUUUUCUUUAUUUACAUUUCAAAUGUUAUCCCCUUUUCUGGUUUCCCCUCCGAAGCCCCCAUCCCAAACCCUCCCUCCUCCUGUUUCUAUAAGGGUGCUCCCUCACCCACCUACCCAUUCCCUCCUACCUCCCCACCCUAGCAUUCCCCUACACUGGAGCAUGAAGCCUUCACAGGACCAAGGGCUUCUCCUCCCAUUGAUGCUAGACAAGGCCAUCCUCUGCUACAUAUACAGCUGGAGCCAUGGGUCACUCCAUGUGUACUCAUUGGUUGGUGGGAGGUCUGGGUGGGGUGGUUGGUUGAUAUUGUUGUUUUUCCUACAGGGUUGCAAACCCCCCUUCAGUUCCUUGAGUCCUUUCUCUAACUCUUCUACUGAGACUCCGUUCUCAGUCCAAUGGUUGGCUGCAAGCGUCCAACUGUUUUUGUCAGGCUCUGGCAGAGCUCUCAUUCAAAGCAUAAAAUAAGUCAUUUCCUUCUUUUAACAUGAUUUCAUGGACAUACUUUUGCAGGGAUAAAAUUGGAACACUCUUCUUACAUGGAUCUGCCAAUAUUGAUCCUUCAGAAUCAAUGGAUCGGAACAGUAAAAGAAGAAAUUAUAAGAGCCCACUGUCCACUGCCCUGCCCCAGCUAUAGCUGGAUUGAACAGGACAAGAACACAAGGAAUGAGGGCUAACAGAGGUGGGGAGCUCCAGAGCUUGAGGGCACGAAAUAGAAAAGGUAUGAGAACUUAUCAGAAGCCCCACAGAAGCCUGGGACUGGGUCGAAAGAAAUCCACAGAGCUCUUUUCUCUUUAUGGAUUCCGAGUCAGCCUCUUUCAUUGCAACAAGAACUAGAGUUUCAAUGAGAUUUCCAGUCCAAAAUCAAGAGCAGGAUGGAGAGUGUUAAAGGACAAUGCCGGAAGUCAACCUCUGUUCUCCAAAUCACACACACAAAAUAAACUUAUUUCACAAAAGGCUAAAUCAGCAGCCUGAGCAGAACCAGCCCCCUUCCAUCAUGUGUGAGUCCUACAGAAAAGUGGCUUGUAAUGCAAUUCUUGGAGACUGAAUUCAGCAUACAACUGUCAACAACUACUGAGACCAGGUCAGGAGACCCUUCGGCAAGUUAUUAAAUGUCUACAAAUGUCUGCAAAUGUAAGUACCACCAGUUACAAUCUACCUUUAAGUAUCUUGCAACUUUACAGUUGCAUUCGGACCAUGAAAUAGACGCAACUUAUUUUGCUAGAAGAUCCAAAUAAUGGUUAAUUAUAGACACAGAGACCUUCAGAGAGAUGAUUAUUGUAUUUAACAUUAUUAUUUUUAAUAAACCCAUUGUUAUAAUCACAUGGAAAAUGAGACUAAAAGUCUGAAGUAUUUGUAAGCUUAAAAGAGGGCAACUGGCAUCUGCAUAAAACAAUGUAAUGCAGCAAAGAGCUCAGAGCAGUCCACAGUUAUAGCUUAAUGAACACAAAUCUCCAGCACCAGAUGCCCAAUGUGACAGGCUUCUGACUCACUUCCAGCUCUUCAUAGCGUGGCCAAGAAGAACAGGCUUGCAGUACCUCCUCAGCCAACAAUGAAGUCCAGAAACGAAGAAAAACAUAGGCUUAAACCAGGACCUCCGAAUGAAGCAAAAUAUAUGUGUAUUUUAUAAGGAAAUGAAGUGAGGUAGUGACCUGGCAUAUCGGAGCUCCAGAAGUAGCCAACCGGUGUACUACUCUGGCUCUUCAAAAGACCCUGGAAUUUUCUUUCUGGAUUUUUCCUUUGCACUGAAAGCAUGACACUGACAUCCUACACACAACGGUGCCACAGAGUGUGAUCUAUUGAAGUAGAAAAGAAAUAAGGGAACCCCCUGAGAAAGAACAUAGAAGUGAUUGAGCAGAGUGUCAACAGCUGAGCCUCUACCCCAUCUAAACUCACGAAAAGGAACAGUUCGUGAGCUAAGGUUUGUCCUUAAUACAUGUGACCAGGACUGGCCAAGGAAGGGGAUGAUCCUUUGUUUGUAAAGACAACUUACAGAGAAAGUGAGGUAGUUAAAUAGAACAUUCUUUCUUCUCUAUGAGGGCAUUUUGCUGAUAUUAAGGGAAUACUAGACUUAACACACACUAGGAAAAUAUGUGCUACCUAGCCCUACCUCCAAGCUACGUGCUUACUCUGUGCAUUUGUUAAGGAAAAUAAAAAUUACCAUUUACA